AGUGAACGCUGGCGGUAGGCCUAAUACAUGCAAGUCGAACGGCAGCACAGAGGAGCUUGCUCCUUGGGUGGCGAGUGGCGGACGGGUGAGGAAUACAUCGGAAUCUACUCUGUCGUGGGGGAUAACGUAGGGAAACUUACGCUAAUACCGCAUACGACCUACGGGUGAAAGCGGGGGAUCUUCGGACCUUGCGCGAUUGAAUGAGCCGAUGUCGGAUUAGCUAGUUGGCGGGGUAAAGGCCCACCAAGGCGACGAUCCGUAGCUGGUCUGGGAGGAGCGUCAGCCACACUGGAACUGAGACCCGGUCCAGCCCCCUACGGGAGGCAGAUGUGGUGAAUAUUGGACAAUGGGCGAAAGCCUGAACCAGCCAUCCCGCGUGGGUGAAGAAGGCCUUCGGGUUGUAAAGACCUUGUGUUGGUAAAGAAAUACAUCUGGUUAAUACCCGGGUGGGAUGACGGUACCCAAAGAAUAAGCACCGGCUAACUUCGUGCCAGCAGCCGCCGUAA
This 506-nucleotide ribosomal RNA is filed under the name uncultured bacterium. RNAcentral's name for it is "partial 16S ribosomal RNA". It matches the Rfam family "Bacterial small subunit ribosomal RNA", at positions 29 to 523 of the family's 1533-position model. The record is from RNAcentral.